This is a non-coding RNA of Coturnix japonica (Japanese quail), 3208 nucleotides long. Lineage: Eukaryota; Metazoa; Chordata; Aves; Galliformes; Phasianidae. The record is from RefSeq and is a predicted model, not a curated record.
UCAUGGCUCAGCUCAGCUCUGCCCAGCGGUGGGUCUCUGCUGGAGCAGCUGGAGCUGCUCUGCUCUGAUACGGGGCAGUGCAGGGCCCCACACAGAGACGGCAGCCCCCACCCCCUGCAACAAAAACCUGCCGUGUAAAUCCAAUAAACAGGAAAACAUCACCUGCCCCUCCCUGGGAACAGGACAGAGGUGAAGACAUCCAGCAAGGGUGGCACGGAUCUGAUGAGCGCAACCAACCCAUCGUGCUCUGCUUUCGGGGUAGGGGUGGGGACACCCCCUGCCGCCCCUCCUGCACCGCCGGUUGGGCAGUAGGGCUGCGUACACCCCACACCUGUACCCGCAGUGGGCGCGUCCCCCUCCCUCACUACCAGGGAGAGGAUACAAUACCGUAGGGGGGGCACACAGCUCCCGCCUACCCCGAGGGGACUCGGCAGCUCUUCUCUCAGCUCCGCCGCAGCCGCCGGUCCCGGGUCCCCGCUGCUGCAGCCGGGCGCCCACCCCAUGGCUGCGGGACGGGUCGGAGCCGUGCCUCCACCCCCACUGCUGCUACUGCUGCUGGCGCUGCCCGGCCUGGGGCCGGCGGGUGAGAACACAGAGUUGCCUCCCUUCUCUGCCACAGGAGGACAGCACUCCAUCCCAGAGGAUACGGUGUCACCAGUUCUCAGUGCUACAGUCAUAAUCAUUGUCACCGUCAUCAUAUCUGGGAGUGCUUACCUGUGUUUCCUGAAAUAUAUCUGCUCUGGAUGCUGCAAAGCUACACAGGUGGUACCUACCAGAAGACUUGAUCCUAGCAGGUCUGAAGAACAAGUCUAGCCUCACCUUGGCAUCAUAUCAGGUGAUCAUUGAGCUGUGGUAAUAGUUACUGCUGUAACUAUGAAAUAUCAGGAAGCAAAGGAGACUGAUAUUCAGUGAGUAGCAACUAACUAUGCUUCCAAUAACCUCUAUGCUUUCAAUGAGCGUGCCGUUAUCUGACUGGAAUAACUUUUUAAUAGUUAUUCUUGACAUUUGCUAUUUGUAAGUUAGUUGUAGGAUUCUGUUUUUAAGCUAUGUCAAAGAGGCAGGAGGGAAUAAAGUAGUACUUUGUUCUGCCGUGCUGAGUGUAAUGAUAAGCUGGAUCUUGAUCUGCUGUCCUAGGAUGACACAGUAUUCAACCUAGAACACAUAAGAUGAAACAUCCAGAAUUUCUCGUGGAUGAUGGAUGAUGGAUCCCACUGAGGGAUGUGGUUUAAUGAGCAUGGUGGUGAUGAGUUGAUGGUUGGACUUUGUGAUCUGAGAGGUCUUUUCCAACCUUAAUGAUUCUGUGUUUGGUUUGUUCUGUUCUAUGUUUGUUCUAUUUAAUAUGAAGGAUUUCCCAUUUUAUUUCCUUUGUACAGGUAGUUGGUUUUUCCUGGGAAGGAAAAUAAGGAAUCUUCUUCAGAAGUUUUCUGGUGAAUUGCUAAUACAGGUCACAUUUUCCAGCACUAUUUGGCACUCAUUGAAAAUGUCUUUCAUUCUCUUAUAAAAUAUGGUUCAAUCCAUUUUCCUUGAUACUCCUCUGCUUUCCUAUUUGAUAAUGAACACAGAGUUCUAGAGAUCUGUCAUUGGUAUCAAACAUUCUCUAUAGGUGCAGUGAGAGAGAAAGGGAACAAGUCUGGAUAACUUGAGUGUAUCUGAAUUUGACAAACACAAACUGGACAAACUUUUGGAGCUCCAAAGCUUUGGUCUCCAUAUACAGGUAUCUGAAUGACACGCUACAGUUUGCAUUACUCAGAGGGCAAAAUAGAUGAUUUAAUGACUCUCUGACAUUAAAUAUGUGCCAACAAGUACUCACAUUUCUGGCAGCAAUAAACCUCUAAAAGUACACGCAUUGCAUUUUCCAUGCUGUGGAAACAUUUCUUAUUUGCCUUGUAACCAAGCUGCUGUUGGGCAUCCAUCAGCACCACAACUAUAUUGAACACUCUGCAAAGUUCUCAGCUGAUAUCCAGUUAAGUGAACGCCUGAAACACAUUAGCUGAGGUGGGGGUGGAAGGAUGAAAUAAGAAAUGAACGUGAAGUUUUCUGACAGCAAAUGUGUUGGGCCCUUUCCUGGGAUCAGCUGAGAAAAUGGUGUUCGGAAAACAUAACAGUGGAAUGGCUCUUCUUGGUGCAUGUCAGCUUCAGAUGAGCAGGGAAGCACCGAAAACCUUUUUAGGAAGAAAAAGGAAAUUGUGACGUUUGCCAUGCUGAUCCAAAAGGGAAAGAAGUGAAGAUAAAUAAGAGUAAACAUCCAGAUGGCCUGUUUGUGAACCACUGGCAUCAAGUCUUUGAAAUGUGUGUUGUUUACCAUUAGCAUGAUCACUUCCUGGUUAAAACAAAACCUAAACACUUGUGGUCUUUGUUUUUACAGCAAGAAGCUCAAAAAAAUAUAAGGGAUAUUUGAAAUACCCAUGAGGAAAAUCUGAAAGAGAAACAAACUCUAUUUUACAAAUCUGCAUGCAUGGGAUGAGCCAGCUCACAGUUUUUGAAGAGCUGGAUUGCCAACACUGGAUGCCAGGCAGGUUUUGGACCUAAUCUACAUCCUUUGGACAUCCAACACUCCUAAUCCAACUGUGAAGUUGAAAUACAAGAGCCAGAACCAAUGUUAUUGUGGGAGAGAGCCAACAAAAAACAAUGCAGGCCUGCAUUCAGAUCUGGAUAUAAUUGCAGGGAUAAAAUGCAUUAUAUUUAUACAGAUUUCACCUGCUAUAUCUACAGUAUUUACAUUCAAAUAAAUGGUCAUUUAUUGUGCCAAGUCAACACUGCAUAUUGCGGUUUGCCUCUUAAAUCUCCAUGUAUCUCAGUAGCUGUGUGUAGCUAUGUCACUAAUAGUAAGAUCUGUUUUGUACCAGAUGAAGGCUGACCUUGAGAAAUCUAUUUCACAGCUGUGCGUGCUGGUGAAGAAAACAAAUUUUGAUUUCUCUGUGUGUAAAAUGACUGUUGUGUUUCUAUCUGUAAGAAUUUCCAUGGCUCUUUAUUUCAUUCCAGAUGGCUAUUUGUGAAUAUCAUCCAGCAAGCAUCAGUGGUCCAAGAAAAGACCGCGAGUUCUGCUGGCAGCUGUAAAUAUAUGCUGGUGGUUGACAAUCUUUUGACGGCUAUAUUGACAAUAUUGUAUUUGGCCUUUUGAUUGGACUCUUUCCAUUAAAACCUUCUCACACAUUUGGAGCAUUUCUGACUGAUACCCCCAAAUAAAGUCAUCACAUGCGUAACUCUA